Molecule: ribosomal RNA, 468 nt
Filed under: uncultured bacterium
Lineage: Bacteria
Description: partial 16S ribosomal RNA
Rfam family: Bacterial small subunit ribosomal RNA
Source: RNAcentral
GACGAACGCUGGCGGCGUGCUUAACACAUGCAAGUCGAACGGAAAGGCCCUGCUUUUGUGGGGUGCUCGAGUGGCGAACGGGUGAGUAACACGUGAGUAACCUGCCCUUGACUUUGGGAUAACUUCAGGAAACUGGGGCUAAUACCGGAUAGGAGCUCCUGCUGCAUGGUGGGGGUUGGAAAGUUUCGGCGGUUGGGGAUGGACUCGCGGCUUAUCAGCUUGUUGGUGGGGUAGUGGCCUACCAAGGCUUUGACGGGUAGCCGGCCUGAGAGGGUGACCGGCCACAUUGGGACUGAGAUACGGCCCAGACUCCUACGGGAGGCAGCAGUGGGGAAUAUUGCACAAUGGGCGGAAGCCUGAUGCAGCAACGCCGCGUGCGGGAUGACGGCCUUCGGGUUGUAAACCGCUUUCGCCUGUGACGAAGCGUGAGUGACGGUAAUGGGUAAAGAGGCACCGGCUAACUACGUG